AAUGAAGUUCUGCUGCUAAUAAUGCCAAGCCACAGCAUUAAAUAAAAAAAGCACACCAAGAGGGAGCAAAAAAAGGAAGGGUACAGAGUGACCAGUUAGCAAAAGCCAGGAGGCGAAGGGACAAGAACUGAGGUGACGCCUGUGACAGAAGACCAUGGAUCCAGAGAAGUGCUGCUUGAGCAGCAUGACCACUGGCCCUAAUGUGCAGCCUAGAUGUUUUUUCUGCUCCAAAGUAAGAACAGAGGGGAGGAAAUGAGCAAACCUUUCCCAAAAGCACAACUUGAGACCUUACAGGAACAAAUCUCCAGACUGCAGGAAUUCCAGGUUUCAUGGGAAAAAAAUUUUCUCUUUUGGCUCUUAGCAGAACUAUUAAUCACCAUUCUUGUGAGAUGAAAUUGAAUAACUGACAAAACCAAAAAAGGAAUAUAAAUUCAAGUGAGAGUUGCCUACACUUUUGCAUUUCUUCUGUUUCCCUGUUUAUGUAAGAAAAUAAGAGCCAUCAUACCAGCUUGCACAACUUCCCCCACCCACAACCCCCAGGUCUUUAUCCUGUUGCUAACCAAGAGCACAAACCAUCAAUAAUGGGUGAAGAAGAGGAUGAUAAACUCUGCCAGUAUCAACCACAGGGGAUGGACAGCCUCAGUUUAAAGCAGCUUUUCCAACAGCACCUUAAAUAGUGAUCAGUGUGUUUCUCCUUGAGUCACACCUCUUGAAACCAACUGUGCAUUCACUUUACUAAAAACUUCACACAGCAAUUAGUUUUGGGUUUUACUUACGUGAAAGAGUAGUGUUUUCUGCUUUAACUGUAUGUCUGAUCAUUUCCCUGUUUCCUUUCUCAUGAGAGGUACUGAAAAAUAGGUUCCAGUGUAAUUUUUCCUGAUGCUGAAAGUCCUCUCCUUUCUUAGCCACAGAGUGACAGACAAUUUGGUUUAUUCUUGUAGCAAAGCCCUCUUUGCCUCUGAAUACCCUUACUGCUCUUUUUAAUAACUUAUUUUCAUGCUAUAAUAUAUUUUUCGUCAGUGGAGACCAGAAUCACACCCAGUGCUCAAGAUAAGGAUGUGUUGCAUCAGUAUAAUAACAUUUCCUGUUUUGUUCUCUGUUCUUUUGCUAGUAACUCUUCAUAAUCUCUUUGCCCUCUUGGUAGCUUCUGAACAUCAGGCUUUUUUGCAGAGAACAUCCAAAAUUACCUCAAGAUGUCCUUUCCAUGUCCUUUUCCAGCGAAAGAUGAUCACUUUGUAUGUGUUUGUAGGAUUAUUUCUCUGGGAAUAGGGCUUUGCUUAGUUCAACAGCUGAAAUAAACCAAAUAAAGGUGGAGGACACCUGAUCUCAUGGCAUUUCCCAUGAAAAUGUAUCUACUGUUCCAAAGCAAUCAUUCUGCUACAGAACUGACUGGCAUUUCAGUUUCACAGGAUCUAGGAAAAUUCCAGUGUUUGGGCCUCAUCCUGGAGCCUCAGUCCUGGACUGGUGUGUUUGGAAGGGACAGGCGGAGAGUACGACUGUUGGGUUCUGGCAUGUGAGGCUGAGAUGUGGUGCAGGAGGACAGAGAGGGGCACCUGCUCAUGUCACACAGUGCAGAGCACACUCCUCGCUGCUGAUGUGGGAGGUCUCAGACAAGCUUGUUUCUGCAGGCUGUCAGCUGCAGAGGAUAACUUCAGGGAGUUUGGCCUGUGUCAUAGACCCUGAGAGCAGUUGGGCAGGAGUGCUGGAAACCUUCAGCUCUUUGAAAGCACUGGGUCCUCAGAAGCUGCUAGCAGCCUGCAAACUCUGCUGCUGGCUGUGGAGAUGAGGUGGAACACAGAUGCUUACAAUUGACAUUUUUGGAUAUGAAACAGCCAAGAACUAAUCUCCAUAUCUGACUGAACACACGCUGA
Long non-coding RNA from Passer domesticus (house sparrow), 1871 nucleotides. RefSeq lists it as uncharacterized. Lineage: Eukaryota; Metazoa; Chordata; Aves; Passeriformes; Passeridae. The record is from RefSeq and is a predicted model, not a curated record. The transcript has 3 exons.